AGGCUUAACACAUGCAAGUCGAGCGCCCCGCAAGGGGAGCGGCAGACGGGUGAGUAACGCGUGGGAAUCUACCCAUCCCUACGGAACAACUCCGGGAAACUGGAGCUAAUACCGUAUACGCCCUUCGGGGGAAAGAUUUAUCGGGGAUGGAUGAGCCCGCGUUGGACUAGCUAGUUGGUGGGGUAAAGGCCUACCAAGGCGACGAUCCAUAGCUGGUCUGAGAGGAUGAUCAGCCACAUUGGGACUGAGACACGGCCCAA
RNAcentral lists this ribosomal RNA (260 nucleotides) under Rhizobium sp. RNAcentral's name for it is "partial 16s ribosomal RNA". It matches the Rfam family "Bacterial small subunit ribosomal RNA", at positions 46 to 334 of the family's 1533-position model. Lineage: Bacteria; Pseudomonadati; Pseudomonadota; Alphaproteobacteria; Hyphomicrobiales; Rhizobiaceae. The record is from RNAcentral.